RNAcentral lists this ribosomal RNA (510 nucleotides) under uncultured bacterium. RNAcentral's name for it is "partial 16S ribosomal RNA". It matches the Rfam family "Bacterial small subunit ribosomal RNA", at positions 28 to 507 of the family's 1533-position model. The record is from RNAcentral.
GACGAACGCUGGCGGCGUGCUUAACACAUGCAAGUCGAACGAAGAGCGAUGGAAGCUUGCUUCUAUCAAUCUUAGUGGCGAACGGGUGAGUAACGCGUAAUCAACCUGCCCUUCAGAGGGGGACAACAGUUGGAAACGACUGCUAAUACCGCAUACGAUCUAAUCUCGGCAUCGAGGAUAGAUGAAAGGUGGCCUCUACAUGUAAGCUAUCACUGAAGGAGGGGAUUGCGUCUGAUUAGCUAGUUGGAGGGGUAACGGCCCACCGAGGCGAUGAUCAGUAGCCGGUCUGAGAGGAUGAACGGCCACAUUGGGACUGAGACACGGCCCAGACCCCUACGGGAGGCAGCAGUGGGGAAUCUUCCGCAAUGGACGAAAGUCUGACGGAGCAACGCCGCGUGAGUGAUGACGGCCUUCGGGUUGUAAAGCUCUGUUAAUCGGGACGAAAGGCCUUCUUGCGAAUAGUGAGAAGGAUUGACGGUACCGGAAUAGAAAGCCACGGCUAACUACGUG